RNAcentral lists this ribosomal RNA (484 nucleotides) under uncultured bacterium. Its description in RNAcentral is "partial 16S ribosomal RNA". It matches the Rfam family "Bacterial small subunit ribosomal RNA", at positions 30 to 507 of the family's 1533-position model. The record is from RNAcentral.
AUUGAACGCUGGCGGCAGGCCUAACACAUGCAAGUCGAGCGGAUGAAGGGAGCUUGCUCCUGGAUUCAGCGGCGGACGGGUGAGUAAUGCCUAGGAAUCUGCCUGGUAGUGGGGGAUAACGUCCGGAAACGGGCGCUAAUACCGCAUACGUCCUGAGGGAGAAAGUGGGGGAUCUUCGGACCUCACGCUAUCAGAUGAGCCUAGGUCGGAUUAGCUAGUUGGUGGGGUAAAGGCCUACCAAGGCGACGAUCCGUAACUGGUCUGAGAGGAUGAUCAGUCACACUGGUACUGAGACACGGUCCAGACUCCCACGGGAGGCAGCAGUGGGGAAUAUUGGACAAUGGGCGAAAGCCUGAUCCAGCCAUGCCACGUGUGUGAAGAAGGUCUUCGGAUUGUAAAGCACUUUAAGUUGGGAGGAAGGGCAGUAAGUUAAUACCUUGCUGUUUUGACGUUACCAACAGAAUAAGCACCGGCUAACUUCGUG